CGAAAGCCUGACGGAGCAAUACCGCGUGAGGGAGGAAGGCUCUUGGGUUGUAAACCUCUUUUCUCAAGGAAUAAGAAAGUGAAGGUACUUGAGGAAUAAGCAUCGGCUAACUCCGUGCCAGCAGCCGCGGUAAUACGGAGGAUGCAAGCGUUAUCCGGAAUGAUUGGGCGUAAAGCGUCCGCAGGUGGCAUUGAAAGUCUGCUGUUAAAGAGUCUGGCUCAACCAGAUAAAGGCAGUGGAAACUACAAAGCUAGAGUGCGUUCGGGGUAGAGGGAAUUCCUGGUGUAGCGGUGAAAUGCGUAGAGAUCAGGAAGAACACCGGUGGCGAAGGCGCUCUACUAGGCCGCAACUGACACUGAGGGACGAAAGCUAGGGGAGCGAAUGGGAUUAGAUACCCCAGUAGUCCUAGCCGUAAACGAUGGAUACUAGGCGUUGCUUGUAUCGACCCGAGCAGUGCCGUAGCUAGCGCGUUAAGUAUCCCGCCUGGGGAGUACGCACGCAAGUGUGAUACUCAAAGGAAUUGACGGGGGCCCGCACAAGCGGUGGAGUAUGUGGUUUAAUUCGAUGCAACGCGAAGAACCUUACCAGGGCUUGACAUGUCGCGAAUCCCGGUGAAAGCUGGGAGUGCCUUAGGGAGCGCGAACACAGGUGGUGCAUGGCUGUCGUCAGCUCGUGUCGUGAGAUGUUGGGUUAAGUCCCGCAACGAGCGCAACCCUCGUUGUUAGUUGCCAGCACUUAGGGUGGGCACUCUAACAAGACUGCCGGCGACAAACCGGAGGAAGGUGGGGAUGACGUCAAGUCAGCAUGCCCCUUACGUCCUGGGCUACACACGUACUACAAUGCGACGGACAGAGGGCAGCGAGCAUGCGAAUGCAAGCAAAUCCCGAAAACCGGCGCUCAGUUCAGAUCGAAGGCUGCAACUCGCCCUCGUGAAGGUGGAAUCGCUAGUAAUUGCAGGUCAGCAUACUGCAGUGAAUUCGUUCCCGGGCCUUGUACACACCGCCCGUCACACCAUGGAAGCUGGUAGUGCCCGAAGUCGUUACCCCAACCUUUCGGGGAGGGGGAUGCCUAAGGCAGGACUGGUGACUGGGGUGAA
RNAcentral lists this ribosomal RNA (1096 nucleotides) under Capsosira brebissonii S23. RNAcentral describes it as "bacterial SSU rRNA". It matches the Rfam family "Bacterial small subunit ribosomal RNA", at positions 376 to 1484 of the family's 1533-position model. The record is from RNAcentral. Lineage: Bacteria; Bacillati; Cyanobacteriota; Cyanophyceae; Nostocales; Capsosiraceae.